ACUAUAGUUUGGUAUUGGUGAUUGGGACGGUUUGUGUAGGAUAGGUGGGAGACUGUGAAGCAGGCACGCUAGUGUGUGUGGAGUCGUUGUUGAAAUACCACUCUGAUCGUAUUGGACGUCUAACCUCGGCCCAUGAUCUGGGUUAGGGACAGUGCCUGGUGGGUAGUUUAACUGGGGCGGUUGCCUCCUAAAGAGUAACGGAGGCGCCCAAAGGUUCCCUCAGCCUGGUUGGCAAUCAGGUGUCGAGUGUAAGUGCACAAGGGAGCUUGACUGUGAGACUGACACGUCGAGCAGGGACGAAAGUCGGGACUAGUGAUCCGGCACCGGCAUGUGGAAGCGGUGUCGCUCAACGGAUAAAAGGUACCCCGGGGAUAACAGGCUGAUCUUCCCCAAGAGUCCAUAUCGACGGGAUGGUUUGGCACCUCGAUGUCGGCUCGUCGCAUCCUGGGGCUG
RNAcentral lists this ribosomal RNA (453 nucleotides) under Tryblionella compressa. RNAcentral's name for it is "partial Bacterial large subunit ribosomal RNA". It matches the Rfam family "Bacterial large subunit ribosomal RNA", at positions 2103 to 2555 of the family's 2925-position model. Lineage: Eukaryota; Bacillariophyta; Bacillariophyceae; Bacillariales; Bacillariaceae. The record is from RNAcentral.